UAUUAUGUUAGUUAAGUACAAAUGG
RNAcentral lists this non-coding RNA (25 nucleotides) under Bombyx mori (domestic silkworm). The record is from RNAcentral. Lineage: Eukaryota; Metazoa; Arthropoda; Insecta; Lepidoptera; Bombycidae.